Molecule: long non-coding RNA, 1884 nt
Organism: Coturnix japonica (Japanese quail)
Lineage: Eukaryota; Metazoa; Chordata; Aves; Galliformes; Phasianidae
Source: Ensembl
CAGAAGGUCCUGAAAUACUUUUUAAAAAAGGUCAGUUUUUUGUCUUGUUUUGAGAAGAGUUACCAGGUAUAUACAAGUAAUUGUAUAUAAAAUCUAAUAUCUGUCUUCAGUCCGUGCAUUUUCAUCACUGUUUUAUGAAAGAUAUCAUCUGAUUUUAACAUACUUAUGAACAAUUGUGUUGUGGGAAAAGAGGCCUUAUUACUCAUUGUUCAUUUCCAAGCAACCUGCAAACUUUUUUCAUCCUACCUACCAAUGUGACAUCAAAUAGGAAACACCUCCCCCUUGUCUUUCACUAACCAGGGAUAACUGGUCCUCGUGCUCUCAGCUGCUUAGCUUUUUCUCUGGUAUGGUCCUGGCCAUUCUCACUCACAUAAACCUCCUUAGGAAAACUCCAGACCAACAAAAAGUGGUGUGAAAAGAAAUUCCCAAGACAUUUUUUCCAUACAGUCUGAGUCAUCUCCUGAAGGUGGAUCUUUGCUGACAGGUGUUCAUCAGAAAUAUCUGAGCUACUCCAGCAAGAGGUACUAUGAAUCAAAUAUCUACAUCUAUGGCUUCAUUUAUUUUUGGUGCACACUGUAUUUUCUAGUGACCAAAGUGUUUUUUCCUCUGUCCCAUCAGAGUCCAUCAUGAGCUUUCAUUAUCAUUGUCAUACAUUGCAAGGAUCUGCAUCUGAAGCACCAGUCAGCAGCAGCUCCAAGGACACAUUCCAUCUAUGUGGAAUAAGAAACUGCUGUCAUGGAGAAAGUCCACCUGCCAGCCUCACUGUGGACUGUAGCAACUCUGAAUUUGUUCUGUUGCACAUCACGUGUGGAAGCACGGGAAAGAGCAGGACUGCUCCUCCCCAGAAGAAAAUCACUGCAGAAGAGAAACCACACUGCCAAUAGCAGGAGGAACCGUGUGUCUCAUAUAUGAGCAACAACUUGAGCUAAGAUGGCAUAGUGAAGUUGAUGUCCAUGGAACACGUCAUCUCUUUCUGCUUCUGCCUAAAUGUUCCCUGUUCAGCUCUCACCAUUUUGCUCCUCCUUUCACAGCUUCCACUCCACAGUAUUAUUAAUCUUCAAUAACUAAAAUGCAGCAAAGUCACAUGUGAUAAUGUCCAAAGAUAUUUGCUUUCUAAAGUGACCUGAGAUGCAUGCACCUAAGGAGAAAGAUGUUCUGAUGUAAUAACUGUUGCAGUGUUUGUUUAGGAGCUUCAUUUAAUUACUUUGUUGGAUCAGUGAAAACAAAUACAUUAUAAAAUAUUUACUGGUAAUUUUCAAAGAGUGCACAGCAGUGUUUAAGGGAAGUAAUAUUAUCUACAAGUAAGUCACAGUUAACAAAUACCUCUGCUACUGUUUCUAUGUAUCGUGUUAUGAGAAACCUUGUGUUUGUUCUGGCACUUCCCUUAUACUUUUCAUGGUAAAUGAAGCAUGUCAGGGAUUAUAAAACUUGUCAUACUGCAGUCACAAGAUUAGAGAAGAAGAAAUUAAUACACUGUUUUAAUUUUAAUUAAAAUUAAUACAAUAACACUGUUCCCUUAUACCUCUAUCACAGCAAAACUUGACAUAUAGUUAAAUUUAAGAACAAAAAUAAGGAAGAACAAAAAUAAUGAUACAGAUAAGUUAAUAUCUUUAAAAAUCUUUGAAAUGUGUUUCCCCCUGUAACAAAGAAACAGGUUUUGAUUUACUCACAUUGGUUUUUAUUUUUCCACAUAUUCAGCUUAAUUUUUCUUGUACACUGAUCCAUACCUGUGGCCUGAAUGACCCAUGCACAAAGGACAAUAGUAUUAAAAGAUAGAUUGUACCAUAUGAAGCCCAUUAUUGUAGGUAUAACCAAAAACAAAAAUCAUGGAUUUAUACCUCCCUCACCUCAUUCACAAAUGGGACCACUGAAAAAUUCAGUUUG